UACGUAGGGACCAAGCGUUGUGCGGAUUUACUGGGCGGAAAGGGCGCGUAGGCGGCAUGGCAAGUCACUUGGGAAAUCUCCGGGCUUAACUCGGAACGGCCAAGUGAUACUGCCACGCUAGAGUGCAGAAAGGGCAAUCGGAAUUCUUGGUGUAGCGGUGAAAUGCGUAGAUAUCAAGAGGAACACCUGAGGCGAAGGCGGGUUGCUAGGCUGACACUGACGCUGACAGCGCGAAAGCCAGGGGAGCAAACGGG
This 254-nucleotide ribosomal RNA is filed under the name uncultured bacterium. Its description in RNAcentral is "partial 16S ribosomal RNA". It matches the Rfam family "Bacterial small subunit ribosomal RNA", at positions 524 to 776 of the family's 1533-position model. The record is from RNAcentral.